UAUACUAUUAAGAGGCUGUCCAAGUAAAUAUCAAGCAAAUCCAAUGAUAUUGGUGGCACAACAUAAUUUUUUUCCCACUGAAUUUUUGGUUCCAAUGCAACGUUUAUAUCAUACAAAGGAUAUAUAUGUCAAAGAUAUUUUUGAAUCAUCAGUGGAUGGCUCAGAAAAUAAUUUUAAAGUUCACUAACAAUGCAACAAAAU
Molecule: long non-coding RNA, 201 nt
Filed under: Mytilus galloprovincialis (Mediterranean mussel)
Lineage: Eukaryota; Metazoa; Mollusca; Bivalvia; Mytilida; Mytilidae
Source: RNAcentral